This 338-nucleotide long non-coding RNA is filed under the name Ananas comosus (pineapple). RNAcentral's name for it is "long non-coding RNA (ACOM_LNC033074)". Lineage: Eukaryota; Viridiplantae; Streptophyta; Magnoliopsida; Poales; Bromeliaceae. The record is from RNAcentral.
CUGCCGUGUGUUUUUUUUUUUAUCAUUUUUUAUCAUUUGUCAAAUAGUAUUUUAUUUUGAAUUUUGAUAAAAUAUAAAUUUAAAUAAUUAAUUAUAGAAAUACGACAGCUCUGAUGAUAAAUAUAAUAUUUUCUAUGUUUGGCUAUCGGUACGCAAGCAUGCAAAAUUUAAAAUGGGUCUUUGUGAUUUAUUUGGUUAAUUAUUAUUUAUUAUACUCUGUUUAGAUUAACGCUGGUAAGUCAACUCGCGAAUCAUAUUCGAUUCGUAAUGUGUUCAAGAUCGAAUUACUCAUUUAAUAAAUGAGCCGAUCAUGAACUGAAUUCUAGCUUUGUAUCUUA